Long non-coding RNA from Chinchilla lanigera (long-tailed chinchilla), 854 nucleotides. RefSeq lists it as uncharacterized. The transcript is spliced from 6 exons. Lineage: Eukaryota; Metazoa; Chordata; Mammalia; Rodentia; Chinchillidae. The record is from RefSeq and is a predicted model, not a curated record.
GGUGCGCCUCAGGAUACAUGGGCAGCACUUGGCAGAUGUGCAAACAGCUCACUCAGUCCGCAGAAACGUUUUCUGUUUAGUUUUAUUUUUGCGUGCUGAGGAUUAAACCCUGGGCCUUGACACGGAGCUACAGCCCCACCUGUUUUUUUGUUUUGUUUUGUUUUUUUUAAUUUCAGACAAGUUCUUCCCAUAUUGCAAGAGUUGCCCUGAUUGGUUUAUCUCACAGUUCUCCUGCAUCAGCCUCCCAGAGCUCUGGGAUUACCGAGCUUCUCUUUCUCGCCAGCCCGGAGCCUGCUCCGGCCCCUGCUGAUAACUCUUAACAGAGUGGACAGAUAUACAAUUCCUGGGAAGAGUGAGGAGCUCGGGCAAGGUUGCUGUCACCAUCUGGACCCCAAAGGAUCUGGCGAGUGGAGCACACGGGGAGCGCUGGUCUUUCUGGCAGCCCAUCAGCCCUGGCGUGCAGAUAAAAAGACAUGAAAAGGAGUCAGAUUGUAUAAUUGUCGCUCGGCGCUGUAACUAGCAGAGGAGUGGACCCACGUUACUUCUGUAAGCAAGAUAGAGGAGGCACUUGGUAGCAGAAAGCAUCAAUCCAGUGUUGAAAGAAGUCCUUUGCCGUGGGCAAAGAAACAAGGACCUCCAGGACUCCUUCCUGAAUGAUUCCUCCUCCUCCUGAAUGAUUCCUCUCGACCUCUCUGUCACCUGCCACACUUCCUGACACUACAAGAGUAGUCCCAAGACACGUGAGCCAUGAUGACGGCAAUUCCGAUCUGCCAGUAAGAAUCUCUAAAGUGUCUCCUUCAAAUAUCGUUUCACAUUCUCACAAGAAGAAUGGUCAUGUUAAUAUAAUAAAAUAU